Molecule: ribosomal RNA, 253 nt
Filed under: uncultured bacterium
Lineage: Bacteria
Description: partial 16S ribosomal RNA
Rfam family: Bacterial small subunit ribosomal RNA
Source: RNAcentral
GACGAACCGUGCGAACGUUAUUCGGAAUCACUGGGCGUAAAGCGUGCGCAGGCGGUUUUGCAAGCCAGGUGUGAAAUCCCCGGGCUCAACCUGGGAAUGGCAUUUGGGACUGCAAGGCUGGAGUGCGGCAGAGGAGACUGGAAUUCCUGGUGUAGCAGUGAAAUGCGUAGAUAUCAGGAGGAAUACCGAUGGCGAAGGCAGGUCUCUGGGCUGACACUGACGCUCAUGCACGAAAGCGUGGGGAGCAAACAGG